UGCAGUGAAGUGCAGCUUUUGUAAACAACUAGCUGUUCAGCGCACGGCGCGAUGCAAGGCAGACCUUUUCGAUAUGUUGUUUAUUUGUGCCUGUUCUUUGGCGCUAAUGCCCGCACUAACCGAGCAUCGAAUCUCCUUCAACGUGUAACUGACACUAAAUCUUCUAAGCCACUUGUGGUCAUCUUAGAUCUUGGCAAGAACACCAGGACCUCAGAUUUCGAUGAUCUGUUCAACAAUGAUGGUGAUGACGGACUUUUAGAUGAUGAUGACAUCUACAAAGCUAAGGGAUACGAAACAUCAUCGUCUGAUGAGAGUGAUGCGUACUAUUUGUAUCAUUUGUUACGUGAUCACCAAGACCAAAACAAACGUCACACAGCCAGCAGCAGCAGUUCUGACAGCAGUUCUGACGUAAGU
Long non-coding RNA from Ostrinia nubilalis (European corn borer), 414 nucleotides. RefSeq lists it as uncharacterized. The record is from RefSeq and is a predicted model, not a curated record. Lineage: Eukaryota; Metazoa; Arthropoda; Insecta; Lepidoptera; Crambidae. The transcript is spliced from 3 exons.